CAGUGCGGUUUGGCAAAGAGUCCCGGUCCGAUCAGGCGCAGCAAGUCUCCUGAGUCGACCAACGGGACCGGCUCCAGCAGCCAGAUCUCCACCCCGAUGAAACAUUCCCCCACCUCCAGCCCCACCAGUCCAGGGCUCAUCAACAAACCGAAGGAUCUUGACCUGCCCUUAUCCCUGGAGGAUGAAGAUUCUCUCGGUGAAUCGAUGUAGACUACUGCAGCCAGCCUCCUUUACG
Molecule: long non-coding RNA, 235 nt
Organism: Nematolebias whitei (Rio pearlfish)
Lineage: Eukaryota; Metazoa; Chordata; Actinopteri; Cyprinodontiformes; Rivulidae
Exons: 3
Source: RefSeq, a predicted model, not a curated record